RNAcentral lists this ribosomal RNA (403 nucleotides) under uncultured bacterium. RNAcentral's name for it is "partial 16S ribosomal RNA". It matches the Rfam family "Bacterial small subunit ribosomal RNA", at positions 28 to 526 of the family's 1533-position model. The record is from RNAcentral.
GACGAACGCUGGCGGCGUGCCUAAUACAUGCAAGUCGAACGCAGUGGGGACGGGUGAGUAACACGUGGGUAACCUCCCAUCAGAGGGGAUCACACUUGGAAACAGGUGCUAAACCGAUACUGAUGGAUGAACCCGCGGUGCAUUAGCUAGUUGGUGAGGUAACGGCUCACCAAGGCCACGAUGCAUAGCCGACCGGAGAGGGUGAUCGGCCACACGGGGACGGAGACACGGCCCAGACUCCUACGGGAGGCAGCAGUGGGGAAUGUUGGACAAUGGGGGAAACCCUGAUCCAGCCAUCCCGCGUGUGCGAUGAAGGCCUUCGGGUUGUAAGACUUUCAGCGAGGAGGAACGUUACUCGCAGAAGAAGCACCGGCUAACUCCGUGCCAGCAGCCGCGGUAAUUC